CCCCUAGAUGUCCUGGGCCGCACGCGCAAUACAAUGUAAAGUUCAGAAAGCAUAUCCUGUUCCGGAAGGCAAUGGGUAAUCUUUUCAAUAUUUUACGUGUUAGGGAUCGAUCUUUGCAAUUAUAGAUCUUGAACGAGGAAUACCUAGUAAGUGCAGCUCAUCAGGCUGUACUGAUUACGUCCCUGCCCUUUGUACACACCGCCCGUCGCUCCUACCGAUUUCGAGUGGUCCGGUGAAUCUUUUGGAAUUAGAGUGCAAACCCAAACUAAGAUCGAUAAACCUUAUCACUUAGAGGAAGGAGAAGUCGUAACA
Molecule: ribosomal RNA, 312 nt
Filed under: uncultured eukaryote
Lineage: Eukaryota
Description: partial 18S ribosomal RNA
Rfam family: Eukaryotic small subunit ribosomal RNA
Source: RNAcentral